GCAUUCGUAGUGUAGUGGUUAUCACAUACCCUUCACAUGGGUAAGGCCCCGGGUUCGAGCCCCGGCGAGUGCA
This is a transfer RNA of Vittaforma corneae ATCC 50505, 73 nucleotides long. It matches the Rfam family "tRNA". Rfam says of the family: Transfer RNA (tRNA) molecules are approximately 80 nucleotides in length. Their secondary structure includes four short double-helical elements and three loops (D, anti-codon, and T loops). Further hydrogen bonds mediate the characteristic L-shaped molecular structure. tRNAs have two regions of fundamental functional importance: the anti-codon, which is responsible for specific mRNA codon recognition, and the 3' end, to which the tRNAs corresponding amino acid is attached (by aminoacyl-tRNA synthetases). tRNAs cope with the degeneracy of the genetic code in two manners: having more than one tRNA (with a specific anti-codon) for a particular amino acid; and 'wobble' base-pairing, i.e. permitting non-standard base-pairing at the 3rd anti-codon position. Lineage: Eukaryota; Fungi; Microsporidia; Nosematidae. The record is from Rfam.